RNAcentral lists this ribosomal RNA (460 nucleotides) under uncultured bacterium. RNAcentral describes it as "partial 16S ribosomal RNA". It matches the Rfam family "Bacterial small subunit ribosomal RNA", at positions 338 to 795 of the family's 1533-position model. The record is from RNAcentral.
CCUACGGGAGGCAGCAGUGAGGAAUAUUUGUCAAUGGACGAGAGUCUGAACCAGCCACGCAGCGUGAAGGAUGACUGCCCUAUGGGUUGUAAACUUCUUUUAUAUGGGAAUAAAAUGUUCCACGUGUGGGAUUUUGUAUGUACCAUAUGAAUAAGGAUCGGCUAACUCCGUGCCAGCAGCCGCGGUAAUACGGAGGAUCCGAGCGUUAUCCGGAAUUAGUGGGUGUAAAGGGAGCGUAGGUGGAUUGUUAAGCCAGUUGUGAAAGGUUGCGGCUCAACCGGAAAAUUGCAGUUGAAACUGGGAGACUUGAGUACAGUAGAGGUGGGCGGAAUUCGUGGUGUAGCAGUGAAAUGCUUAGAUAUCGCGAAGAACUCUGAUGGCGAAGGCAGUUCACUGGACAGCAACUGACACUGAGGCUCGAAAGUGUGGGUAUCAAACGGGAUUAGAUACCCGAGUAGUC